GAUGAAGAACGUAGCGAAAUGCGAUAAGUAGUGUAAAUUGCAGAAUUCAGUGAAUCAUCGAAUCUUUGAACGCACAUUGCGCCCCUUGGUAUCCCGAGGGGCAUGCCUGUUCGAGCGUCAUUUCACCACUCAAGCCUGGCUUGGUGUUGGGCGACGUCCUCUUUGGGGACGCGCCUCGAAACGCUCGGCGGCGUGGCACCGGCUUUAAGCGUAGCAGAAUCUUUCGCUUUGGAAGUCGGGGCCCCGUCUGCCGGAAGACCUGCUCGCAAGGUUGACCUCGGAUCAGGCAGGGAUACCCGCUGAACUUAAGCAUAUCAAUAAGCGGAGGA
RNAcentral lists this unclassified non-coding RNA (329 nucleotides) under soil metagenome. Its description in RNAcentral is "partial contains 5.8S ribosomal RNA, internal transcribed spacer 2, and large subunit ribosomal RNA". The stretch from base 1 to 120 matches the Rfam family "5.8S ribosomal RNA", at positions 35 to 154 of the family's 154-position model. The record is from RNAcentral.